UCUACAUCCAAUGGCUCCCUUGCCACAGUUCGUCCGACCGAGCAACCCUGAUCUAGCCUCCCAGCGCAGCCGCGCUUGAUCCACCUCCUAGAGCGCUCCCGAGGCAUGAGCUCCUCCAACCUCACGGCCCCACUGCCCCCGGCAAACCUCACCGCCGGCGACCAGCACUAGCAGGCCCGUACCGCCCCUCUCUUCCCUGCCUCCUCUGCUCUCGGUCUCCCUCUCUCUUGUUCUGUGCUAUCUCUCUCCUAUAAGGAACACCCAUGGACCUAUCUCGCCGUCCAUGGAGCUCCGCCACCGGCCGAGUCCGGCGCGACCGACUAGAUCCGGUCGCCCCUCGUCUUCCCCUCCACGUAAGCACCUGCGAGCCACCCGGUCUUCCCGGAGCUCUUCACCGCGUCUACACCAAGUCCCCGUUAGAUGCCACCAUGACCCUCCGCACAACAGUUCCACCGGGAAUCAAACCAGAACGAUGCGUCGCAUCCGAAUCCGCACGUCCCGUGGCCGCCCACUUUCCCCACCUCUAUUUCAUUCGAGUGAGGAGGAUGCCCCAUCUUCCAUUGACCGCAUCGUGCUGUCCUGGCACCGCGCCAAUGCACGGGCCAUGAUCUCCCCAAGGCUCAGCCGCCUACUUCCUUCUAGAUGGCCCGCUACCUCCUCCACCUUUUAAUCUUGUCAUGUACAUAAACAGGAAGAACUAAAUAAAUGAAUAUGGUGUUUCAUGAAUAUGCAACUCAUUGCAUAUUCAACUCCACUUAAUUUGUAGUAUUUGAUUGUUGCACUUUGUCACGCCAUCCAAAACAAUAAGCUACGCUCAAUGGGUGACCAACAAGCGAUGCCACGUGUCUAGGAAAGUAUCGAGGAGAAAAAAGGCAACGAUUAAUUCCUUUCCUUCCGUGCGGAAGGUAGCAAUCAAUUCCUUUCUUCCCUACGAAGGCAGCUCACGUCUUCAUCUCUACCCCUCUCUAUCUCUCUUUCCCCUUGAGUUAGACACGCCGCUUCCUCCACCCUUCCUUCACAGACUCCCCGCCAUCGCUCCUCCCAAGCCUCGUGGUCCUCCCCCUCUCCUGAGCUCUCUCUCUCUCUCUCUCCCUCUCUCCCUCUCUCUCUCUCCCUCUCUCUCUCUAUCUCCAUCACCGUCGGGCCGUGCCCUCCAGCCAAUGUGCGGAUCUAGCCGAGAGGAGGGACAUGACUCGAGUAGGGCUAGUCGCUGUUGUGCGCCUGCUUUGUCGUCGUGGGUUUUCGCUGUGCUUCCCGAGAAAAGGAUUGGCUAGCGGCCCAGCCCCUAGAUCCCAUCCCCCGAUUCCUCUCCCUUUCCCUCAUCGACCGCCACCACCGGCGACCUUGCUGCAGUCGCCGCCAUCAACACCCGUACCAUCCCCAACGGCUAACGCUCCCGCCCAUUCCCUUCUCCAUACCAUCGGUGACUUCCUCCCCUCUUCCUCACACUAGAUCGAGCAGCAGGCUAGGAUCCGAUGCAGGCUCAGAUUCGGCAUGCUCGAACCGCUGGUUCCCAUUGAGGAUGCCAUGGACAAGGUGCUAUGGCCUUGGUGUUGUAGCCAUGGAUAAGGUGCUCUAGCCUAAAUGAUGCAGCCAUGAACAAGAUGUGGGCAUCAUAGUUUUUUCUGGCAGCCGAGAGAUGCCUGGAGUUCCAUUACAGUACGGGUACUCUCAGGUUGUUGCCAGGAUCAUAUGGACAAUAUGUACAGUCACGCUGCUGUUAUCCGCUUUCCUUCCAUUGACGACUUCAAAUUAUUCAAGGAGAGCAUGGCGUACAAGGAUGUAAGGUUUUUUUGCUUGCAUCCUUGUAGAUCUAGGAGUCGGUCAAUUCUAUUUUGUAUUGAGGGGAACUUUGUUUUCAUCAAGGUCUAGACAAUAAUAAGAUAUUAACAAAAGUAAAAUAUCCUUGGUCUGAAAGAAACAAUCCUGUUGUUAUAUUUCAAAUCAGGUUAUGCAUGUCCUUGGUCUUCGGUAAAUUCUGUUUCAAAUGCAGGAGAACAUUGUUUUUUUAUAAAGGAACAAAUAAUACUAAGAUAUUUACAAAAAUAAAGAAGUGCCCCGUAAAAUGGCUUAACUAUU
Molecule: long non-coding RNA, 2079 nt
Organism: Triticum dicoccoides
Lineage: Eukaryota; Viridiplantae; Streptophyta; Magnoliopsida; Poales; Poaceae
Exons: 4
Source: RefSeq, a predicted model, not a curated record